This 253-nucleotide ribosomal RNA is filed under the name uncultured bacterium. RNAcentral describes it as "partial small subunit ribosomal RNA". It matches the Rfam family "Bacterial small subunit ribosomal RNA", at positions 26 to 285 of the family's 1533-position model. The record is from RNAcentral.
AGGACGAACGCUGGCGGCGUGCUUAACACAUGCAAGUCGAGCGGAAAGGCCCUUCGGGGUACUCGAGCGGCGAACGGGUGAGUAACACGUGAGUAACCUGCCCCUAGCUCUGGGAUAGCUCCGGGAAACCGGGAUUAAUACCAGAUACGACCACUUUAGACAUCUGUCGUGGUGGAAAGGAUUCCGGCUAGGGAUGGGCUCGCGGCCUAUCAGCUUGUUGGUGGGGUAACGGCCUACCAAGGCGACGACGGUA